Molecule: ribosomal RNA, 496 nt
Filed under: uncultured bacterium
Lineage: Bacteria
Description: partial 16S ribosomal RNA
Rfam family: Bacterial small subunit ribosomal RNA
Source: RNAcentral
AUGAACGCUGGCGGCGUGCCUAAUACAUGCAAGUCGAGCGAACGGACGAGAAGCUUGCUUCUCUGAUGUUAGCGGCGGACGGGUGAGUAACACGUGGAUAACCUACCUAUAAGACUGGGAUAACUUCGGGAAACCGGAGCUAAUACCGGAUGAUAUUUUGAACCGCAUGGUUCAAAAGUGAAAGACGGUCUUGCUGUCACUUAUAGAUGGAUCCGCGCUGCAUUAGCUAGUUGGUAAGGUAACGGCUUACCAAGGCAACGAUGCAUAGCCGACCUGAGAGGGUGAUCGACCACACUGGAACUGAGACACGGUCCAGACUCCUACGGGAGGCAGCAGUAGGGAAUCUUCCGCAAUGGGCGAAAGCCUGACGGAGCAACGCCGCGUGAGUGAUGAAGGUCUUCGGAUCGUAAAACUCUGUUAUUAGGGAAGAACAUAUGUGUAAGUAACUGUGCACAUCUUGACGGUACCUAAUCAGAAAGCCACGGCUAACUACGUG